RNAcentral lists this ribosomal RNA (433 nucleotides) under uncultured bacterium. Its description in RNAcentral is "partial 16S ribosomal RNA". It matches the Rfam family "Bacterial small subunit ribosomal RNA", at positions 29 to 507 of the family's 1533-position model. The record is from RNAcentral.
AACGAACGCUGGCGGCAUGCCUAACACAUGCAAGUCGAACGAAGCCUUCGGGCUUAGUGGCGCACGGGUGCGUAACGCGUGGGAAUCUGCCCCUUGCUUCGGAAUAACAGUUAGAAAUGACUGCUAAUACCGGAUGAAGUCUUCGGACCAAAGAUUUAUCGGCAAGGGAUGAGCCCGCGUGGGAUUAGGUAGUUGGUGGGGUAAAGGCCUACCAAGCCGACGAUCCUUAGCUGGUCUGAGAGGAUGAUCAGCCACACUGGGACUGAGACACGGCCCAGACUCCUACGGGAGGCAGCAGUGGGGAAUAUUGGACAAUGGACGCAAGUCUGAUCCAGCAAUGCCGCGUGAGUGAUGAAGGCCUUAGGGUUGUAAAGCUCUUUUACCAGGGAUGAUAAUGACAGUACCUGGAGAAUAAGCUCCGGCUAACUCCGUG